CCCCGGGAGGCGGGCGUGGUACGUUGGGGGUGGUGGCAGCAGCGGCAGGUUUUCCCAUGGAGCCGGUCCAUUUGCUCCCAUUUCCCCCCAUGGUUUGCCCUGAGGGCGGUCCCUGUUGUCCCAAGUUCGCCGAACGUCCAUCUCCAGGUCAGCCUGCUCCCUAGAGGAGGCCACCGUGAGGUCAGGGGGCAAGAGAGGUGGCUGCUGCGGGGAAGCCGGAUGCCCGUCUCCAGGUGACAUUUUAGGUUAUUGGGUCACAGAUUGCUGGCACACUCAUCCCUGUUCUCAAAUAUCUUUUAAACUUGGGUGAAGUGAUAAGUAGGGGAAGAUGAUUUACUGAAAGCAAUGCAGAGUCUCCCGAGAACAGAUUCAGACUGAACAGAUUUGUGUCAGAAUUUGGGAGACCCCUGGUGCCCAAGAUGUUCUCUGGCAGGUCAAUGACGAAUCUAGGUCCCUCUUUCACUGCUACGUCAAUGAAGUGGGCCACUUCAACAAGGCCAAACCUGGUAUCCCAACCAUAGCCCUUGACAGUGAUGUUCGGCUCCAGGAAGCCAUCAGAUGCAGCAGGUGGCCAGAGGAGGAGCCGAACGUGCUCAUGAAAUGUGACAUCCACAACUUCAUCAACACGGACCAGAACUCUUCCUUUGGGGAAGAUGAUCUCCUGACUUUCGAACCACCGAUUGUUCUAGAAAAUAAGCCAGUUGCCCAGACCCCACACAAAGACUUGAAUUGAGAAACGUGCUUUGUCAGGUGUCUUUUUGAAGAUAUGAAUUCUGUCUUUGUAUGGCAGGAAUUCCCCUUUCACAAAAUUGUAUGUGUUUGUGUCUGAGAGAGAGAAAUGGAGACAGACAGAAAGAUGAAGAAGCAGAAGAGAGCCCCCUCAGAAGAGAGCUAGUUAAGCAUCCCAGACUGACGAAGACAGUGGAGAAUGCCUCUGAGUUUGGCACUGAUUGACUGGAGAAUGCUGAAACCCAGGGAAGUGGGCAGCACAGACGUUUACUCAUUUAAUCCUGCCAACACAGUAGGAGAUAGAGUCUACAUAAUCCUCGCUACUUAAAAGAACUCGGAGAGGAUCGCUGGCCCUCCUGCGCAUGCGCAGUCAUUGCCAGCUGGAUCUAGGGUUGGAAGCUCCAGCUCCGAGCCGGGGAUCGGCCCCAAAGCUGCUCAGCUCUUUCGCCUGAUUCUCCUGGUGGAGUCGGGAAAGGGGAGCGUCAGUGCUGAGCGAGCUUCCGUCUCCUCCCUCAGUGUUUCUGCCCCAGACAUCACCAUGGAACAUGUGGGGGUUUGUGCCUGCAGGCCGGGAUGCUGCAGGACUCCCUGGUCCAUCACCGUUAUGUCUUGGAGCUGCUCCAGUCAGUGAAUGACUUUCUGUGGCUUGGAGUGUAAGAAUUCUGGUGACUGUUAGAAGCAUGCUUCCAAGCUGUCCGUGUCCUCGGCAUCCAGAAGCGGAGCCUGGAAGCUACUGAAUUUCUCCAGAAUGCGUUCUACAUUCACCUUCGGCAGAUACUCAGCACUCCCUGCACCAUUUGUUGAAUAGACUAUUCUUUCAAUGGAGUGUUGUUGGCACCCUUGUGGAAAACUGACUGUAAAUAUAAGGAGACUGAGAAUUAGGUCUUCUGUAUUUUGGAUGGAGCUCAUUAUCAAUGACAGGAAGUUGUAAGGAAAAAGAUAUUGAUUCAUCCUGAGAAAAUAUUUUUCUGACCGUCAGCAUUGAAGAGGGUGAACACUGAAGAAGGUGAUCAUUGUUUGAUUGAGACGAGCCCCGGGUUGUACGGAGUCAGCAUCCCUGUCCUGGACACGGCACGUGUAGAUCUGCGUGGUGGGUGAGGCGGCGAGGCUGCGCAGGGAACGCGGAUGCCGGGCCGUUGGGCUGUGCUCAGGCCCGGUGGGGCUUUCUCCUAAGGGCAGUGGACCGUCAUUGACAGAUCUUAAGUAGGGGAGUGGGGUGCUCUCGUAGAUCACUUUUGUCUUGUAGAAUGCUUAGAAACAUUUAGAA
This is a long non-coding RNA of Camelus dromedarius (Arabian camel), 1996 nucleotides long. RefSeq lists it as uncharacterized. NCBI's taxonomy places the organism in Eukaryota, Metazoa, Chordata, Mammalia, Artiodactyla, Camelidae. The transcript is spliced from 11 exons. The record is from RefSeq and is a predicted model, not a curated record.